UGAACAUAAAUAUAGUGAGUAAUCAUGCAUGCAGGGCAUGUCUCAAAUGAUUUAUACAAUAAAUCAAACAUAAGGGACCUUACAAAUUUUAUGGUAAAAGAACCAAGAGCAGACACUGAAGUGUUGCAAUGCAACCUAAGGAAAACCCGAUACAUCUUUUGUCUAAUAUGCGUAUGAAAUUCUCGCACAAAAUGGGAUGUCUUCUUAAGAUUGCCCCCCUUAAAACUUUGGUAAGUAUAUCAAAUAUUGGCAUAAAUGGAGGAAGCUGCUACUAUUCCACAUAAUAGUGGCUACUAUUAAACACAUGAUAUUGGAUCAUGCACGCACACUGGCAGAGUGCCUUAUUUUCAUGUUCAACGUUACUUCUUUGACUGUACCGUUGAUAAUCUGGUUCAACACAAGCAGUGGCACAACUUCAGAAGUCAAAUUUCAAGAAUCUUUAUUCAAGAGGUCAAAUGAAUUAAAAAUAUCAUGAGUAACAAACAUUCAUCCUGGUACUAUAAAUGUGCAUUUAUAGAAAAUACGUGAAUGAGAGGUAUCUUUUUUCAAUAAUUUCUUGUUAGGACAGAAAAGUAUUAGUACCUUUGCUCAAUCCCUCAAGUAGUAGAAAGGAUCACUGCUUAUUGUGAACGUGAACUCCUGACCAGUUUUCAAUGAGGCAAAUCUUGAAUACUAAUUUCUGGGCCCUGAAUAUGUUAAAUCUAGCUUAUAUCAGAGCAAAUAAGUUGGAAUAUGAUGAAAGAAGGGUCGGCAUAAAAAGGGUUUGAUUACACUAUGUAUUGAUAGAGCAAAAUCAUGUGCUUGCAUGCGCAUGCCAGACUUAUAAUUGACUCGUCCAUAAGAGUCUACAAGCAUGGUCUCAACUCUUUCACCAAUUCAAUAACUUUCUGGUGCGAUGCAUGGUCUCCAUGUGACAUAUUAGCCGAGCCACAUUGAUGUCAUCCUCAGCAAAAUCCUAGAUAAUCUCCCUUGUGUUAGUUGAGGGACCAACUGUGCACAUAAUCCUCAUUUUGUGCCUAACAUUUGGUUUAGACCACCACAUACACAUUGGCUGAUGUACUGUUAUUUGAUGAAUAUCCAUAAGAUGCUGGUAGUUCUCGUGUUCCUGUCAAGAAGUUUUCUUACAAUUAAUUUCAAUGCAUCAAUUCAUAAGGUUCCUUACCCACAGAACAAUGCAUUAUAUUCCAUGGAGUUAGUGUUCAACAAUUAGUAGAGACAUAUGACAUGAUCAUUUUGCACUUCACAUUACUAAGAAGACGACAUGAGGUAAUACCAAAUGCAUUUGAUUAAACCACAGUUCACUCGAAGAACAAGAUCACAACCAAAUAAGUUGAUUACAUUUCAAGCAAGUGUGCGGAUAACAAAAACAGCAGCAGGUGUUCAAUUCAAACAUAUAUAUAUAUAUGCAGACAUACAAUACGUAUACAACUACAAAAAUUAGCCUCCUGGUAAGUUGAGAUGGCAAUACAUGUAAGAACUAUACCAAACUAACCUGAGUAUUGUUCAAAAACAAUUGAUAUGUGCUCUCACCAUAGAGCACGGAUCAUAACAUAUAAUUCAGAGAUACGUGUGUGC
RNAcentral lists this long non-coding RNA (1575 nucleotides) under Triticum aestivum (bread wheat). Its description in RNAcentral is "long non-coding RNA (TAES_LNC021380)". The record is from RNAcentral. Lineage: Eukaryota; Viridiplantae; Streptophyta; Magnoliopsida; Poales; Poaceae.